Molecule: small RNA, 79 nt
Filed under: Salmonella enterica subsp. enterica serovar Derby
Lineage: Bacteria; Pseudomonadati; Pseudomonadota; Gammaproteobacteria; Enterobacterales; Enterobacteriaceae
Also listed under: 3 other names
Description: partial RtT sRNA
Rfam family: RtT RNA
About the family: This family represents a bacterial cis-regulatory element known as RtT RNA. The exact function of RtT is unknown although it is thought that it may be involved in changing the cellular response in relation to amino acid starvation.
Source: RNAcentral
UGUAUCUGAAGUCUGACGAGGAUGAGAACCUCCGGGGGCAAGAGGUUCGACUCGAGCGAAGCGAGAGAACGUUGCGUCA